GGCCUCAUAGCUCAGUGGUUACAGCACUGGUCUCGUAAUCCAGUAGUAGGGGUAGUGGGUUCAAUUCUCACUGAGGCCU
Non-coding RNA from Hippocampus comes (tiger tail seahorse), 79 nucleotides. The record is from the annotation of a RefSeq genome assembly. Lineage: Eukaryota; Metazoa; Chordata; Actinopteri; Syngnathiformes; Syngnathidae.